RNAcentral lists this long non-coding RNA (147 nucleotides) under Chinchilla lanigera (long-tailed chinchilla). RNAcentral describes it as "lncRNA (ENSCLAG00000023830.1)". Lineage: Eukaryota; Metazoa; Chordata; Mammalia; Rodentia; Chinchillidae. The record is from RNAcentral.
GAGCCUGUCAACUUCCAAGGAGGAACGCUGGGCAUCUACUUCAUCAGGUACUUUUCCAAAUCCGUGGUUUCUGUCCUGAGUUCCCUCACAAGCCUCUUCUUUCCGGCCAUUCUUUCUGAAAGGCAAUGAAUUCCUCUCUGAGGCUCU